RNAcentral lists this ribosomal RNA (466 nucleotides) under uncultured bacterium. Its description in RNAcentral is "bacterial SSU rRNA". It matches the Rfam family "Bacterial small subunit ribosomal RNA", at positions 328 to 792 of the family's 1533-position model. The record is from RNAcentral.
CCACCAGACUCCUACGGGAGGCAGCAGUGAGGAAUAUUGGUCAAUGGCCGCAGGGCUGAACCAGCCAAGUCGCGUGAGGGAUGACGGUCCUAUGGAUUGUAAACCUCUUUUGUCAGGGAGCAAAGGGCGCCACGUGUGGCGCUUUGCGAGUACCUGAAGAAAAAGCAUCGGCUAACUCCGUGCCAGCAGCCGCGGUAAUACGGAGGAUGCGAGCGUUAUCCGGAUUUAUUGGGUUUAAAGGGUGCGUAGGCGGAGUGUCAAGUCAGCGGUAAAAUUUCGGGGCUCAACCCCGUCGUGCCGUUGAAACUGACACCCUUGAGUGGGCGAGAAGUACGCGGAAUGCGUGGUGUAGCGGUGAAAUGCAUAGAUAUCACGCAGAACCCCGAUUGCGAAGGCAGCGUACCGGCGCCCGACUGACGCUGAAGCACGAAAGCGUGGGUAUCGAACAGGAUUAGAUACCCGCGUA